RNAcentral lists this ribosomal RNA (321 nucleotides) under uncultured Allapsidae. RNAcentral describes it as "SSU rRNA". The stretch from base 106 to 321 matches the Rfam family "Eukaryotic small subunit ribosomal RNA", at positions 738 to 955 of the family's 1831-position model. The record is from RNAcentral. Lineage: Eukaryota; Cercozoa; Glissomonadida; Viridiraptoridae.
GAUUUCUGACUUGGCGCUCUUGGCCCGCCACGGUUACGUGUGUGAGUGCUGGGUAGCGCCUGUCAUCCUUCUAGGCAGCAUGUCUGCUCUUCAUUGAGUGGAGAUGUCGCCUAGAUCUUUUACUUUGAAAAAAUUAGAGUGUUUAAAGCAGGCUUUUGCUAUGAAUACAUUAGCAUGGAAUAAUAAUUUAGGACUUCGGUUCUAUUUUGUUGGUUUCUAGGACUGAAGUAAUGAUUGAUAGGGAUAGUUGGGGGUGCUAGUAUUCAGCGGCCAGAGGUGAAAUUCUCGGAUUCGCUGAAGACUAACUUAUGCGAAAGCAUU